This 468-nucleotide ribosomal RNA is filed under the name uncultured bacterium. RNAcentral describes it as "partial 16S ribosomal RNA". It matches the Rfam family "Bacterial small subunit ribosomal RNA", at positions 28 to 507 of the family's 1533-position model. The record is from RNAcentral.
GACGAACGCUGGCGGCGUGCUUAACACAUGCCAGUCGAACGGAAAGGCCCUGCUUUUGUGGGGUGCUCGAGUGGCGAACGGGUCAGUAACACGUGAGUAACCUGCCCUUGACUUUGGGAUAACUUCAGGAAACUGGGGCUAAUACCGGAUAGGAGCUCCUGCUGCAUGGUGGGGGUUGGAAAGUUUCGGCGGUUGGGGAUGGACUCGCGGCUUGUCAGCUUGUUGGUGGGGUAGUGGCUUACCAAGGCUUUGACGGGUAGCCGGCCUGAGAGGGUGACCGGCCACAUUGGGACUGAGAUACGGCCCAGACUCCUACGGGAGGCAGCAGUGGGGAAUAUUGCACAAUGGGCGGAAGCCUGAUGCAGCAACGCCGCGUGCGGGAUGACGGCCUUCGGGUUGUAAACCGCUUUCGCCUGUGACGAAGCGUGAGUGACGGUAAUGGGUAAAGAAGCACCGGCUAACUACGUG